AACGAACGCUGGCGGCGUGGAUAAGACAUGCAAGUCGAACGCUGACUUCAGGGUAGCAAUAUUCUGGAGUCGGAGUGGCGCAAGGGUGCGUAACACGUGGGUAAUUUGCCGUGAAGCCCGGAAUAACUCGCUGAAAGGCGAGCUAAUACCGGAUGUGACUUUUGGGGGGCAUCCUCUGGAAUUCAAAGCUGGGGACCGCAAGGCCUGGCACUUCAUGAUAAGCCCGCGGCCUAUCAGCUAGUUGGUGAGGUAACGGCUCACCAAGGCUAAGACGGGUAGCUGGUCUGAGAGGACGACCAGCCUCACUGGAACUGAGACACGGUCCAGACACCUACGGGUGGCAG
This 344-nucleotide ribosomal RNA is filed under the name uncultured Verrucomicrobiota bacterium. RNAcentral describes it as "bacterial SSU rRNA". It matches the Rfam family "Bacterial small subunit ribosomal RNA", at positions 29 to 351 of the family's 1533-position model. Lineage: Bacteria; Pseudomonadati; Verrucomicrobiota. The record is from RNAcentral.